GACGAACGCUGGCGGCGCACCUAACACAUGCAAGUCGAACGGAGCUGAGAGAAGCUUGCUUUUCUUAGCUUAGUGGCGAACGGGUGAGUAACGCGUGAGUAACCUGCCCUGGAGUGGGGGACAACAGUUGGAAACGACUGCUAAUACCGCAUAAGCCCACGAUCCGGCAUCGGAUUGAGGGAAAAGGAUUUAUUCGCUUCAGGAUGGACUCGCGUCCAAUUAGCUAGUUGGUGAGGUAACGGCCCACCAAGGCGACGAUUGGUAGCCGGACUGAGAGGUUGAACGGCCACAUUGGGACUGAGACACGGCCCAGACUCCUACGGAAGGCAGCAGUGGGGGAUAUUGCACAAUGGGGGAAACCCUGAUGCAGCGACGCCGCGUGGAGGAAGAAGGUUUUCGGAUUGUAAACUCCUGUCGUUAGGGACGAUAAUGACGGUACCUAACAAGAAAGCACCGGCUAACUACGUG
Molecule: ribosomal RNA, 468 nt
Filed under: uncultured bacterium
Lineage: Bacteria
Description: partial 16S ribosomal RNA
Rfam family: Bacterial small subunit ribosomal RNA
Source: RNAcentral